This 3831-nucleotide long non-coding RNA is filed under the name Homo sapiens (human). RNAcentral describes it as "PREDICTED lncRNA (TCONS_00041117)". Lineage: Eukaryota; Metazoa; Chordata; Mammalia; Primates; Hominidae. The record is from RNAcentral.
CACAAACAACUUUGAGUCCCGGGAGGGCGGAGGUGGAGAGAGAUUCUCCGCUUGGAUAAGGGCGGCUGGAUAGCCGAGUACUCUCUUUUGGGGCUGUUGGCCGUCUCCGGAGUCUCGGGAGCGCCUUGAUGUCCCUUCCCAGGGCUCGGGUUCCUUUGAGAGAAUCAAGAGGAAGGUGUUUUUCACUAGGACUCGCGGUGGGCCCCACCUGCCUACCGUGGCCGGCCGGGAGCUAUUACAGCAGGGUCUGCCCGUCCGACGACGGCGGCUCCAAUCUGGGGUCCCGCCGGCGCCGACCCCUCAGCUCUCUCCCGAUACCUGCUGGCCUCUCUCAUCUUUGGUGGCACUCGCCGCCACGGGGACGGUGAGAUCAAAGAGGUAGACCUAGGCCAGGAGGGACUGCCAGGGCUCCUUCCCGCGGGCCAGCCUCUCGUCCUUCCUCCCGGGACGGGGCUCUUUCCCUUUCUCCGGAUGCGGGCCUUUGAGAGUCAGCGACGCCUUAGACUCCUCCCAGAAAAAUGCACCCUCAUCUACCCAAUUCUGCCCUACCCUUUGGAGCUCCUGGACCCUCUAACCGCUCGGUGGGGUCAGAGCCCACCCCCGGAAGGGCCGCUGGUCGGGGACUGGUUCGCCCUCUCCUGGCCUCCUCGGACCAGUGCGCGGGGAGGAUCCCGCUAACGCCGGGCGCCUGCAGACCUUGAGCGGCCUCGCCCUGGUGACCUCCCCGGGAAAGGCUGGGCGGUGCUUCCACAAUGAGGGCCACCUGUUAAUUUGCACGAGAAAGUGCUGCCGAGGGCCCACACGUGCGAAUCCACCUGUGGAGUGCGUCCCCUCUCUGGGGCCAAGGCCUAGGGGAGGCCGAAGCGGAGAAGUUGCCUGAAGACUGGGAAGUAAGAGUAGGGGCGUCGGAGGAAUCGAAGUUGCAGUGACAUCAGGCUCGGACAGCCGGCGGACUCCUCGCAAGGUGAUCGGAUACUUCCGAGAGCCCCACAGUCCUCCUGGGCCUUUGCCCUCGCGUCUGGGAUGCGCUCGGGCGCCCCCAGUCUGCGAUGCGUUCGUACCUCCAGUAGGGUGACGUUUUCGCCGGGCCCCUCUGCGAACAGUCUCCGCCCUCCUCCACUGUGAGAUAUUUCACAGUUUCACCCGCAGAGGGCAACCUUAUUCCAAGUUCCCGAGCGCCCUAGGCCUCUUUCUCCUCCCUGCCUAACUGGUGAGGUGGGACUUCAAUGCCUUUUAGGUUUACAGUCUUUUCCUCCCCACGGCUUCUCUUUCCUCCCCGUCUCAGGCACUGGGCAUUUCCAGUCGAUCCAGCAGGUCUGGCUUCUCUCACAUAUGCAGUAAGGGUUAGGGGAGAAGGUCCCAGCUCCUCUUGUCUCUAGCAGAGUGUAAACUGGCUCUGCUGAGGAGGUGGCUGUGCUUUUAUUCCUUCUCCUGAGAACUGUUUAUAUAUUAAGGAGCUUCACAGCCUCCAACAUAAGGAAAGCAGGCCUCAAACUUCUUCAUGGGAAAAGAUGGCUUCUCUUUUUUAAUUGAAUGAACUAGAAGAAGUUCAUUGUUAUUCAUCAACUUCAAAGAGACUAUAUGAGGCCCCUUGGCCAGGACUACAGAGCAGUAUUUUUUAAUCAGAAAUUAUAGCCAAAAAGAAGAGACCAGAACACAUGGUCUUUGGUUUUUGUUAUAGCAGCCUGCAUGGACUAAGACAAGCUCAUUUUCUGGAAAGUCUUGAACUAAGUACUUGAAAAUACAAAGAUAAAUGAAGCACAAGUGCUGACUUCAAGGAAAUGCCAGAAUUGAAAGAAACUACUUUAAAUUUCAUAUGGAACCAAAAAAAGCCCAUAUAGCCAAGAUGAUCCUAAGCAAAAAGAGCAAAGCUGGAGGCAUCAUGCUACCUGGCUUCAAACUAUACUACAAGGCUACAGUAACAAAAACAGCAUGGCACUGGUACUAAAACAGAUAUAUAGACCAAUGGAACAGAACAGAGGCCUCAGAAAUAACGCCACACAUCUACAACCAUCUGAUCUUUGACAAACCUGACAAAAACAAGCAAUGAGGAAAGGAUUCCCUAUUUAAUAAAUGGCGUUGGGAAAACUGGCUAGCCAUAUGCAGAAAACUGAAACUGGACCCCUUCCUGAUACCUUAAACAAAAAUUAAUUCAAGGUAGAUUAAGGACUUAAACAUAAGACCUAAAACCAUAAAAACCCUAGAAGAAAAGCUAGGCAAUACCAUUCAGGACACAGGCAUGGGCAAAGACUUCAUGACUAAAACACCAAAAGCAAUGGCAACAAAAGCCAAAAUAGACAAAUGGGAUCUAAUUAAACUAAAGAGCUUCUGCACAGCAAAAGAAACUAUCAUCAGAGUGAACAGGCAAUCUACAGAAUGGGAGAAAAUUUUUGCAAUCUAUCCAUCUGACAAAGGGCUAAUAUCCAGAAUCUACAAGGAACUUAAACAAAUGUACAAGAAAAAAACAACCUCAACAAAAAGUGGGCAAAGGAUAUGAACAGACACUUCUCAAAAGAAGACAUUUAUGUGGUCAACAAACAUAUGAAAAAAAAGCUCAUCAUCACUGGUCAUUAUAGAAAUGCAAAUCAAAAACACAUGAUUAAAUCAUGAUCAUUAAAAAGUCAGGAAACAACAGAUGCUGGAAAGGAUGUGGAGAAAAUAGGAAUGCUUUUACACUGUUGGUGGGAGUGUAAAUUAGUUCAUCUAUUGUGGAAGACCGUGUGGCGAUUCCUCAAGGAUCUAGAACCAGAAAUACCAUUUGACCCAGCAAUCCCAUUAGUGGGUAUAUACUCAAAGGAUUAUAAAUCAUUCUACUCUAAAGACAUAUGCACAUGUAUGUUUACUGCAGCACUAUUCACAAUAGCAAAGACUUGGAACCAACCCAAAUGCCUAUCAAUGAUAGACUGGAUAAAGAAAAUGUGGCACAUAUACACUAUGGAAUACUAUGCAGCCAUAAAAAAGGAUGUUUGGCCAGGCGUGGUGGCUCACACCUGUAAUCUCAGCACUUUGGGAGGCUGAGGCGGGUGGAUCUCCUGAGGUUAGAAGUUUGAGACCAGCCUGGCUAACAUGGCGAAACCCCGUCUCUACUAAAAAUACAAAAAUCAGCCGGGUGUGGUGGUGUGCACCUGUAGUCCCAGCUACUCUGGAGGCUGAGGCAGAAGAAUCGCUUGAUUCCAGGAGGCGAAGGUUGCAGUGAGCCAAGAACACGCCAUUGCACUCCAACCUGGGCAACAAGAGUGAAACUCCAUCUCAAAAAAAAAAAAAAAAAAAAAAAAGAAGGAUGAGUUCAUGCCCUUUGCAGGGACAUGGAUGAAGCUGGAAACCAUCAUUCUCAGCAAACUAACACAGAAACAGAAAACCAAACACCGCAUGUUCUUGCUCAUAAGUGGGAGGUGAACAAUGAGAACACAUGGACACAGGGAGGGGAAUAUCAUACACCGGAGCCUGUAGGGGGUUAGGGGAGGGAUAGCAUUAGGAGAAAUACCUCAGGUAGAUGACAGGUUGAUGGAUGCAGCAAACCACCAUGGCACAUGUAUACCUAUGUAACAAACCUGCACGUUCUUCUUGCACAUGUAUCCCAGAACUUAAAGUACAAUUAAAAUAUAUAUGUAUAUGGCACUCUACCUUGAAAAAGAAAAUUGCUUAUGGAAGUGGUUACUGCAAGGCCUACAGCCUGUAAGUUAUGAAGCAGCAGAAGGAUGAUCUGAAAUAAGACGUAACAAUGUAACACCAGAUAUGAAUGGAUGGAGCUCAUAAUACACUGGUGAACUAAGGUGGAGGGUAGAUGUUUGAAGUAUGUAUCCUAAUACACAAAAUUCACUGAUAUGCUCA